This 763-nucleotide non-coding RNA is filed under the name Hydroporus gyllenhalii. The record is from RNAcentral. Lineage: Eukaryota; Metazoa; Arthropoda; Insecta; Coleoptera; Dytiscidae.
GUUUAAUGAUUUAUUUAAUUUUUUUUUUACAUGUAAAUUUUAGUGGGAAUAUAAAAUUAAUUUAAAUAAUUAUUUUUGAAAAUUUUAUUCGCAGUAUAAAGUUUUAUUAAUUUAAGAGAUUAAGAAUUAUAAAUAAAUUUAAAUAUUAACAAAAUUUGUGCCAGCAGUUGCGGUUAUACAAAAAAUAUAAAUAAAUUUGCUUAGUAAAUAAUUAAAUGAUUUUAAUUUAAUAAAAAUAAAAUUUAUAAAGUGAAAUUUAAAAUUUUAAAUAAUUAUUAUUAAAUUUAUUGACAUUAUGAAAUUUAUAAGUUAAACUAGGAUUAGAUACCCUAUUAUUAUAAAUGUUAAUUUUUAUUAAAGUAGUAUUAGUUAUGAUCUUGAAAUUUAAAAAUUUUGGCGGUAUUUUAGUCUAUUCAGAGGAACCUGUUCUAUAAUUGAUAGUCCACGAUAAAUUAUACUUUAUUUAUUAGUUUAUAUAUCGUCGUUAUUAAAUAUUUUAUAAGAAUUAUAAUGUUUAAGAUUUUUUAUUAGAAAAUAUAUCAGAUCAAGGUGUAGUUUAUAUUAAAGAAGAAAUGGGUUACAAUAAAUUUAUUUAUGGAUUUUUAUAUAAAAAUAUAUGAUGAAAUUGGAUUUGAUAGUAAUAAAUUUUAUAUUGGAUUUAUGAUUUUAGCUCUAAAAUGUGUACAUAUCGCCCGUCACUCUUAUUAUAAGGUAAGAUAAGUCGUAACAUAGUAGAUGUACUGGAAAGUGUAUCUAGAAUGAC